RNAcentral lists this ribosomal RNA (409 nucleotides) under uncultured microorganism. RNAcentral describes it as "bacterial SSU rRNA". It matches the Rfam family "Bacterial small subunit ribosomal RNA", at positions 9 to 423 of the family's 1533-position model. The record is from RNAcentral.
GAGUUUGAUCGUGGCUCAGAUUGAACGCUGGCGGCAUGCCUUACACAUGCAAGUCGAACGGUAACAGGUCUUCGGAUGCUGACGAGUGGCGAACGGGUGAGUAAUACAUCGGAACGUGCCCGAUCGUGGGGGAUAACGGAGCGAAAGCUUUGCUAAUACCGCAUACGAUCUACGGAUGAAAGCAGGGACCGCAAGGCCUUGCGCGGACGGAGCGGCCGAUGGCAGAUUAGGUAGUUGGUGGGAUAAAAGCUUACCAAGCCGACGAUCUGUAGCUGGUCUGAGAGGACGACCAGCCACACUGGGACUGAGACACGGCCCAGACUCCUACGGGAGGCAGCAGUGGGGAAUUUUGGACAAUGGGCGAAAGCCUGAUCCAGCCAUGCCGCGUGCAGGAUGAAGGCCUUCGGUU